CAGGGGAUAGCAUGUAGUUUGUAAACAUGUGUAACUUGUUGACAUUGAAGACUUGUUUGUGGACUACAGCCUUGCCAUGAAAAAAUAGAACAUCGUCUUUAACAGUUAGAUGAUUUCCAUGAUUGUACUAUCGAAUACAUGCAUUUUUUCCUUUCUUUGAUCGUUCAGCAACUGGCACAUUGAACACCCCUCUCGCUAACCUAACCACGACUGUGUACGUUUCUCUGCCCAUUGGACCCACUGACCUAGCUUCAGGUUCCAUGUGGCAACACCUAAAGUAUACUUGAGUGUUAGUUUCAUUGUUGUUUAGAGACACUCCAGCACAUUUUUAAAAUAUGGCUAAUUGGUUUGACGUGGUUAUUGCGACACUUGGUCUCUACUGAAAAAGGAAACGCGAUGCAGAAACAUAAGCCUACGGGGCGGUGAGCGGCAACAGCUCUUCUCCUGUGUUGGAGCAAACCUCAUCCGGGCAAAAUCGAUGGAGAUGUUGGAGCAAACUGAACUUAUUUUGUACUAACGUUCAAUUUAUAAUCGUUUAAAAUUGCUAAUUUUGUGAUUCAAAUGCCAUGUAAACGCGUUUCAGGUGAUCUCAAAUUUAAACUGUACUUUUGUCUA
Long non-coding RNA from Gigantopelta aegis, 615 nucleotides. RefSeq lists it as uncharacterized. The transcript has 2 exons. The record is from RefSeq and is a predicted model, not a curated record. NCBI's taxonomy places the organism in Eukaryota, Metazoa, Mollusca, Gastropoda, Neomphalida, Peltospiridae.